RNAcentral lists this ribosomal RNA (1717 nucleotides) under Lulworthia sp. JK5332A. RNAcentral describes it as "SSU rRNA". It matches the Rfam family "Eukaryotic small subunit ribosomal RNA". Lineage: Eukaryota; Fungi; Ascomycota; Sordariomycetes; Lulworthiales; Lulworthiaceae. The record is from RNAcentral.
AAUGCUUGUCUCAAAGAUUAAGCCAUGCAUGUCUAAGUAUAAGCAAUUAUACAGCGAAACUGCGAAUGGCUCAUUAAAUCAGUUAUCGUUUAUUUGAUAGUGCCCAUCUACAUGGAUAACCGUGGUAAUUCUAGAGCUAAUACAUGCGUAAAAGCGCGACUUCGGGAGCGCUGUAUUUAUUAGAUUAAAGACCAAUGCCCUUCGGGGCUCACUGGUGAUUCAUGAUAACUCCUCUGAUCGCACGGCCUUGCGCCGGCGACGGCUCAUUCAAAUUUCUGCCCUAUCAACUUUCGACUUUAGUGUAGUGGACUAAAGUGGUUGCAACGGGUAACGGAGGGUUAGGGCUCGACCCCGGAGAAGGAGCCUGAGAAACGGCUACUACAUCCAAGGAAGGCAGCAGGCGCGCAAAUUACCCAAUCCCGACACGGGGAGGUAGUGACAAUAAAUACUGAUACAGGGCUCUUUCGGGUCUUGUAAUCGGAAUGAGUACAAUCUAAAUCCUUUAACGAGGAGCAAUUGGAGGGCAAGUCUGGUGCCAGCAGCCGCGGUAAUUCCAGCUUCAAUAGCGUAUAUUAAAGUUGUUGUGGUUAAAAAGCUCGUAGUUGAACCUGGGCCCCGUCCCGGCCGGUCCGCCUCACCGCGUGCACUGGUUCGGGAGGGGCUUCGCACCUUGGGGGUACGCAUGCCCUUCGCUGGGCGUGCGGGGAACCAGGACUUUUACUGUGAAAAAAUUAGAGUGUUCAAAGCAGGCCUAUGCUCGAAUACAUUAGCAUGGAAUAAUGAAAUAGGACGUGCGGUUCUAUUUUGUUGGUUAUGGGACCGCCGUAAUGAUUAAUAGGGACAGUCGGGGGCGUCAGUAUUCGGUGGUCAGAGGUGAAAUUCUUGGACCCACCGAAGACUAACUACUGCGAAAGCAUUCGACAAGGAUGUUUUCAUUAAUCAGGAACGAAAGUUAGGGGAUCGAAAACGAUCAGAUACCGUUGUAGUCUUAACCAUAAACUAUGCCGACUAGGGAUCGGGCGAUGUUGCUUACUGACUCGCUCGGCACCUUUCGAGAAAUCAAAGUCUGUGGGUUCCUGGGGAAGUAUGGUGGCAACGCUGAAACUUAAAGAAAUUGACGGAAGGGCACCACCAGGGGUGGAGCCUGCGGCUUAAUUUGACUCAACACGGGGAAACUCACCAGGUCCAGACACAGCGAGGAUUGACAGAUUGAUAGCUCUUUCUUGAUUCUGUGGGUGGUGGUGCAUGGCCGUUCUUAGUUGGUGGAGUGAUUUGUCUGCUUAAUUGCGAUAACGAACGAGACCUUAACCUGCUAAAUAGCUCGCGCCGCCCCGGCGGCGCGCCGGCUUCUUAGAGGGACUAUCGGCUCCAAGCCGAUGGAAGUUUGAGGCAAUAACAGGUCUGUGAUGCCCUUAGAUGUUCUGGGCCGCACGCGCGCGACACUGACAGGGCCAGCGAGUCCCACCUUGCCCGGAAGGGCCGGGUAAUCUUGUUAAACCCUGUCGUGCUGGGGAUAGAGCAUUGCAAUUAUUGCUCUUCAACGAGGAAUCCCUAGUAAGCGCAAGUCAUCAGCUUGCGUUGAUUACGUCCCUGCCCUUUGUACACACCGCCCGUCGCUACUACCGAUCGAACGGCUCAGUGAGGCCUCCGGACUGGCCCGGAGCAGUCGGCAACGACCGCUCUGGGCCGGAAAGCUGUCCAAACUCGGUCGUUUAGA